GCUGGGCGUGGUGGCGGGUGCCUGUAAUCCCAGCUACUCAGGAGGCUGAGGCAGGAGAAUUGCUUGAACCCGGGAGUCGGAGGUUGCAGUGAGCCAAGAUCGUGCCACUGCAUUCCAGCCUGGGCGACAGAGCAAGACUCUGUCUCAA
This 148-nucleotide non-coding RNA is filed under the name Homo sapiens (human). The record is from Rfam by way of RNAcentral. Lineage: Eukaryota; Metazoa; Chordata; Mammalia; Primates; Hominidae.